UAAAUUAAGAUAAAAUAUUUUUUAUUUAAAAAUAUAUUGUAUAGUUAUUAAAAAUUUGAACUAACAAUAUUUAUAGAAUCUGUAGAUUUAUAAGAAUCUAAUGAUUUUACGAUUAGAAAUCAAAAUUUUUAAACAAAAUUGUAGCAAUUUUUUAAAGAUUUAGUAAUAUAAAUUAUAUAAUUAUAGAAAAUAAAAUAAAAUAUAAUUUCGAAAUUUUAAUGUUAUAUAUGAAUAUAUUUAUUUUAUAGAUGAUGUAUGUGAUAUUAUCAUAUUUAAAGAAGUUUACCAAAAAUAAAUAUCAAUAUUAAAUGUAAGGUAUGAGUUAUUACCAUAUUCUAAAAAGUUUACCAAAAAUAUAAAUCAACAUUAAAUGAAAUAAUCCAUGUCAUAUUUUUUGGAAGCCAUGUCAUCAAUUUUAGUAGACAUGUCAUAGUUUUUUGUGUGAAACUGAUUGUAGAGAGGACAUGUGGCAAAAUCACUUCUCAAAUAUAGUCUAGGGACUUAGUUGUUUGUUGGGUCACGUAAUAUCGGCCCAUAUAGUUUAAUUGGGCCAAGUAAAGCCCAUAAUAAAGUACAGCCGCCGAGGGAAACCCUAAUCUCCCAGUGUUCUGUAUAUUUAUUAUGGUUUUCUUCUUCUCCCAACCAUAGUAUCUUUGUCAUCUGUCUUGUCUCUUUAUUAUUGUUCUGUUUAGAGUUUUGUUGAAAGAGUUCGUUUUGUGUCUUGUGUGGAAGGGUAUAUGGUGAUGCUACAAUAAUGUUGUGGACUAGAGUUUCAGAUCUGGGCACUUCACCCAGAAGUUGAAGAGUAACCCUUGGCUGUCUGAGUAUUCCCUUUCACACCCUUUAUUAGUUAUUUUGAUUAAUUUAGUUUUUUUUAUUGAUGUUGGCUAUGGGAUAUUUGAUGAGCUUAUGAUGAUAAAAACAAUUAUCUUAGCGGAUUUCAGUGAGGUUUAUUUCAAUGAUCUGAAUUUGUUACACACACUGAGGCUCUUUUAUGUUUACCAAGUUUUUUUUGGUUGCGUUAUAUUUUUGAUGCUAUGAUGAGAUGAAAGCACGAAGAGUGUAAGAAGAGCAGUGGACAAUUACAGAUUCUGUGAAGGGUUUGUUUUUGCCGUGAGCUUUCCUAAAUAAACGACUUCUCCUUCCACUGAGCAUAUUGAAAUUGUUUUUUCUUUUUAGUGUCUUUUUGGGCGUCCAUUACCAAUUCUGAGGGAUAAGACAAUUCCUUUAGGUAUAAUGGCUUGUGACGCAAUAUCAAUUCGUGGGUUGAAGCUCAUUGAUGUGUCGCCACAAGAGUUCUAAUUGGUGCGAAGCUUUAAGAGACUGAGAUUAGGGAGGCCAAGACGCUAUAAUACGAUGUGAUUGCCAGUUCGUUUUGGUUAUUUACACCCAGUGUAUCUUUAAUCUCGGACCUUUUUAUUGUGGUGGCUGUUUCGUUUUUUUUGGAAAAUAAUGUAAAUAACAAACAUGUAAGAACAAAUACGUUUGACUUUGUUAUUCAACCACUCUAUGAAUACAGUGGAGUUGUUGAAAAAUAAAAAAAGGGAGUGAAAUUAAUUUGGUUUGA
This is a long non-coding RNA of Raphanus sativus (radish), 1567 nucleotides long. RefSeq lists it as uncharacterized. The record is from RefSeq and is a predicted model, not a curated record. Lineage: Eukaryota; Viridiplantae; Streptophyta; Magnoliopsida; Brassicales; Brassicaceae. The transcript is spliced from 2 exons.